This 615-nucleotide long non-coding RNA is filed under the name Homo sapiens (human). Its description in RNAcentral is "PREDICTED lncRNA (TCONS_00194521)". Lineage: Eukaryota; Metazoa; Chordata; Mammalia; Primates; Hominidae. The record is from RNAcentral.
GAAUAAUGUGUUUUAUGGUUGUCAGCUACCAUCUUUAAUUGACACACAAGUGGAGAAGAUAAAUAGUAAUUUGGAACCAAAACUCAGGACGUCCCAGGAGAGGCUAGAUUAGGAAUUCUUUGAUUUGGGAUCACGAAAAUGAAGUAUCCAUAUUUUAACAGAAUGAUUAGUGGCAGAGGAAUCAUCUAAGAAAACUGAGAAGACUCUGCCAGAGUGAUGGGAAGAAAACUAGAUGAGAAAGCACCAUUCUGGAAGACAUGCUCCCAUGAACCAUGGAGAGAAGAGGAGAGGGAAGAAGUUAUUUGUGAUGUCAUUUGCCUGUGUCAUGGCCUGCCUUCCCUAGAUAUUGUCCUAAUGUGAGCAUCACACCUAAGGUACUGAAGUAGAGUUCUGGCUGUUCCUUACGGACAUCUCUGGUGAGAUGAGAUCUUGCUAUGUUGUCCCAGGGUGGUCUCAAACUCCUGGCCUCAAGCAAUCCUCCUGCCUUGGCCUCCCAAAGUGCUGGGAUUACAGGUAGUUUUAAUUCUUUUUUUUGUUAUACUGGUUGAGCUAAGAAUAUCCCCCCAUAUACUUUGUGUGCUACUGUAGAAACUAAGUUACAUUGUAAAAUAUUUU